UGGAACACUACCAGUAGGAUGAUGUCUGUAUGUAGAGGUGCAGAUGACAUGUUCUCGGAAUACAGAGGAAGGCACCACUGCCUCUACCUUGAGAGUAUAUCACAGAGAAAGAUUUAUAUUUGGACUAGAUGGCUGAGAGAUGAGUAGGAGUUUGAUAGAAGAGAGCAUGGAAACUGGCUGUACAACGGCAGAAAGGGCAGGAAAGGCUGAGGAGAAUUGGCCUCUGGGGGUGGGUUAUAGAUAUGGGCCUGGGCACCACAUUCUGGAGCUUGCAAUGGGGUAUGUAAAAGCUUAGAUGGGAUGGUCUUUUCCUCUCCUCCCAUGGGUUCAUAGUUGGCCCACCUCACUCACUGCUGCAAACAAGCUGCCCCCAUUUGAGAGAGAGCUGGAGUGGGGUCUCUAAGCCUCCAGCAACCACUUAGGAGCUAGCCUUGAUGCCCCAGCAGCUAACCUCAUGGAGACCCCAUAGUCCAUCCUAUCUUGGGAAGACAAUGCAGGCAUGGGGAAGGUAACAUUCCCCUCCAGACUCCAGAGGCUCCAAGGAGCCUCUCUCUCUCUUCAAGAAAAGAAAUAGUCACUGAGCCACGGGUGGAGGUGAACAUGGUUUGGGACCAACAGGCGGCUGGAUGGUUUCACCUCCACGGUCAUACAAUGGUACUGGGAGAUGAAUGGGGGUAGGGCGAUCUAGAAUUAGUUCAACCUCAACUUCCAGUGGGGUGGUGCUUGGAGUUGACUCAUUGUGGCCCCAUUUAAUAUUCGCAGUCACCAGUUGGGGUAGGUGGGACUGUUGCUCCCAUUUCACAGAUCAGGACAGGAUAGUUUGCUAGAGGUCACAGGACUAGUUGGGGAAAGGAAAGGGUGUCAGGUAGGAUUUUAACCUUAGAGCCUCACGUUUUCUUAGGCUCUUUCAGGGGGACCUUGGGCAAAUUCCGUUCUCUCUUGGUGGGGGGGGGUCUCCAUUCCUUAUUUGUAAAUUAAGGAGUUCUUCCAGUUUGUGAUUCUCUGUACUUUAACUUGGAUAGGUUUUGUAAAAUGGGGAUUAUGGGAACCCCACUAUAUUUAAGUAGAGUAGGUCUGGGGUGAGGCCCAGUAAUCUGCAGCUUUGAACAAACCUCGGCAUCCACAAAACUGGCUGAGAUACUCAGGGAAAGUUUAUGAUGCAUGAAAAUCUUAUUGCGAGCUGUCCAAAACACAUAACACUGAGCUCCAUCUGCAGAGAUCCUGUUUUGAUACCCUUGGUUGGACUGUGGCUGGGUAAUUUGCAUUUGUCAGAAGUGAGGCCAGUCACCUGGUCAACAACCCCUCCUGUCGCUCUGUGACCCUCCCCGGGCGUCCGCGGUGCUUCUUUACUUGCAUCUUGUGGGAAUGACAUCUGCGCAGGCAGCCCCUUUUUAGCACCGCUCCUCGCACGCGAGCCCAGCCCUUAAAAACCCAGCCCAGCCCCGGGUUUGCAGAUACUCAGGGCAGGGGAAGGCGCCUUUCCGCAUUUGGUGUAGUCCCGCAUGCUGCCAUUUGAUGUCGCGGGAGAACGCGCCUACAGGGAUAGGGCGGGGCAAGGAGGCGAGGAAGGAAAAAAAGCGACAAGUGAAGACUGACAUCCAUUAAGGUCAAUGGUAGCUCAAUCUUCGGUUCUCUGACUCCCAAGCUUCCCAUUCUCUUAGGAGGCUGCAUUUGUGGCGCUAAAAAAAGGGAUGGGCGUGGGAGAUUCCAGGACAUGUGCUCGCUGAAGAUACAACUGUUAGUCCAAGAUAUGCUUCCUUAUGAACUGACGGUGACUCCCAAAUUCAUAUGUUGAAGACCCAACUCCCAACGGACUUGGAGGUCCACGAAGGGCUAGAUAAGGGAAGCUGGUUUGCGUUCAGGGAAGCGGCAGAGGAGGGAAGCUGGCAGCUGGGCUGUGCUAAGAUGACCUUAGCCCCAGACCCUGGAUGAACAUCCUCUUCUGGAUACAGGACCUGCCCGAGGCAUCAUUUUGAAAUAGUCAAAUUUUAUUUGCUUUGUGUUCUUUCAUCACAUAUAUUAGCUUUUGCCUCUUGAGUGCCAAAAUAUAGCUGUUUUUAUAUUACCCCAAGUUCCUGAGUUUAUUUUUUAGGUAAGAAUUUUCCACCCUUUGAAAUCCCAAAUGACAUGUUUACUCUCUUUCUCAGACCAUGCUUUCAUUUCAGUCAAUGUAACAAAUCAGCCAGGUCUCAGGAGUUUAGAAAUCUGAUUGGAUUGAUUUAUACUAAGCGGUAACAGAUCUACCACAGCCUUCUAAGAUGAAUUGGAGUUUCUUAAAAACUCCAUGACCUACACUAUUCUUUAGGUGCUGGAAUUGCACACUUUCAAAUCACAUCAAGUAUAAACAUUCAAUUUUGUGGGGGGUUAUUUUCUAUGGAGAGAUGAGGUGUUGAUUAAUACUGGUAGGCUUUACUCCAAAAGACAAUUCUAUUAAGAUUUCUUUUGUUUUUUAAAAUCUAGACUAUCAGAAGGAGUAAAAAUGCCAAUUUUUUUUUUCUUUUUGCUGUGGCUACAAUGUUCACAGUAAUCCAAGCUCCAAUGACAGGGGGGGAGAGCGGAGCCAAAUGAGGCCCCGUUUUUUUCAUGAAGUGUAUUUUUCUUUUUUUUUUUGAGAUCAGGGGUUCAGAAAUUGUAAUAUAAGUGUUCAAUUAUAAAGUUAUUAUGAUAGUGCAUGGCACGUGUCCUUUCCAUCAUCUGGAUUUUUCCACUUUUACUGUAUGGCUCACUCUUACUCACUCUCCAGUCUUCACCUUAGUGGUCACUUCCCCCUGAAAUGCCCUUGACCCCUUAAGAUAGCAGUGCUGCAAACAUCGUAAGCUGAAUUUAUAGCCAGACUCACAGGCAACACCUUAUCUUGUGCCAUGCUUCACUAAUGAUGAGGAAGUGAGAAAGAGUAGGGGAAAGGAGGCACAACAAAUGUCAUUUCCAUAACAGAGGCCUCAAGGCCAGCCCACUUGAUUCUCUGGAGAUCCUUUUCUGCAUAACAAUGAUGAAAGGUAGCCUAAGAAAGCCAUUUGUCUGAGGCUUCACCUUUGAUACCUUGCUAGACACUAAACUAAGAGACUGAUUCCAUUCUUUAGUAUAGCCAUUGCCUCAUAAAUCCAUACAUAACAGGGGUAUUUCUUUCCAAUAAAGUAUCCAUAUAGAUUAGGUAUAUUCUAUUGACAAUUUUAUUAAAGUUCUUCAUUUAUCUUCCAGAUAGUAGAUUCUAUCAACCAAGUUUCAUAAAGAGUUCUGAUUCCCAGAGGUAAGAACUGAGCCUGGCUUUCUAGUUACAUGUUUAUUGGUAACUCUGUCCUUCCCUACAACACUUAAGCAUAUUUAAAGACUAUACCCUCCCCUGCCUCCAGCUUGGAUUGUAAGCUCCUCAAGAGCAUGGCUGUGUCCUUUAACAUCAAGUCUCCAUGUGAGAAAGAGUUCCUGCCAUAUCACAAAUGCCCAAUCAACAUUUGUAAGUGAAGAAAGCUAUUCUGUGGUGUCUGCUUUAAUAUUAAGAGAUGGCUUGCCCAAGAUUGCUAAGCAGCUUCAUUGUCUACAAUGGAACAAGAUUCUGUGGGUAGCAGUUCCAUUGGUGCCACUGACAGGAGGCCUCAAGGAAACCUAGUGCACUAGUCUUUCUGAUGACGCCUUGAUUUUCUUCCAGCACAGAGCCGUAAAAUGGAAUAUUCUUCUGACACAGAUACUUCAUGCAUCGCAUGAUCAGCCGUGUCCCAUUGCCUCUCCUUCGGUAUUUUUCCACACUGUAGCCCAUUCCUAUUUCACAAGAAGGGUCCAUGGUUACCCAUGAGACCGGGACCCCCUCUGGGCCCAGCAUACAGGCUGCUGGCAGGGCUCCUAGGCAGCGCUUGAUGUAACGCAGGCUCCUCUUAUUCAUCCCUAGCUUCCAGUUGUCAUUUACCAGCCCAGAAUAAGACACAUUCAGCUGGGCAUACUUAAAGUUCGGAGUCUCGCUGUAGAAAACAAAAAGAAAGACAACAACUUUCAUCCCCACUCCUGUAAUUUCUAGGUGCCCUUCCAUUCUAGAGAUCCCAGGCCCUCUUCUUGUUAAAAGACCCACCAUUGCAAAGUGGCGUAUUUUGACCACUGACAACCUUUAUUCAUCCCAAGGAAUGAAUUCAUCCUCUCUUCAUUCCAAAACUGAUUUAUGUGAAUUACAAAAAUGUACAAGGAAUAGCAAUUAUAAAUGAUCAGCACAUGUUUUUUGUACCUCUCCAAUUCGUCAUCUGGGUGGCCUGUCUCAGCCCAGCUUCCAAGCUUGCUUUUAUUGGUGGCAUAGAGCUUCAGGAUAUCUUCCGUAACAAAGAGGAGUGCUCUCGAAUGCUCUACCUUCACUGAAUUUGAAAAUGCAGCUGCUCUUAUCCCCUCACCUAAACUUUCUUGAAAACCUGAGAGAAAGCCAAGAAAGCAAUAUUGUCAGACAUGCAGUUCUCUACUUACACUGCUCACACCUGAUUAAUGCCUCAGUGCUUAGUAGUUCUCAAAGUUGAGUUUACACCACAAUCAGCUAUAGUCCUUGGCACACCACAGAUUGCUCCACCUCUCCCAGCUCUGAGAAUUUCAAGGAAUUUACAUUUCUAAUGAGCUCUCAGGUGAUGCUAAUGCUGUUAGUUGAAGACACAAUUUGAGAAGCACAGCUGCUUGCCCAUUUCUUCAGACUUGUUACCUUGGAUUUGGAGUUUCUGUUUCCAGUUUAUGAUCUCAGAAUUUUUCAAAACUUCUUGUGAUUUUUGAGGGUCUUUGGAGAAUACACGAUAUACAUUAGUGUAUGAAUCCAUGUCAUCAGUCAUCUCCUGUGUAGGAUGGUGAAAGGUCAGAUCAUUCCCUUGAACUUUUUCUUCUCCUCUCACUGAUUGCAAUUAUUAGAAAAAUGAAAAUUCAAAAGAAAGUUUUAGCACUAGCCCACGAUGGCUGCAGUUGGGCACGUGGAUAAUAUAAGUGAGACCUAUAAGCUACUGCUGACCUCUUACCUGUGUAACUGGAGUUUGUUAAAUAUUGAACACUGACAGUUACUGGUUAUAAACCUGCUUCUCAGAUACAUAACAAAGACAGGAUGAAAUCAGUCACCCUCCACCAGGCCUUAAGAUGCCUCACUUUUCUCCCUACCCACUCAACUGCACACUUACCUUAUUUUAUAUAUAGCAUCACAGAGCGCCCAGCAGAAGCAAAGGAAUGCAACAAUUGCUUCUCUCCCUGCUUCUCUCACCUCCUGGACCACACAUAUCCCCCUGUUAUAUAUACUGUGCCCCACAUAACCCCCUGUGGGACAUAUUCUGGGUUGUACUGAGUCCGUGUUGAUAGGGUUAAGUUCUUAAGCUCGGCACAAGAUGAAUUUAACCAUGAUUUCUCUAAGUUAUAGUGCCUACUGUUUCACCAGACACCUACAAUCUAUAUUGUUCUAGAAUCUGCAGUGUCCAGGGUUUGAGCAAGAUACUUUAGUGAAUAUAAACAUUAAGGAGACAUUGCCUUUUCCCAAGGCUACAGGAUAUCAGCCUCUUUGAAGAGUGACAUGGCCUUUACAGCCAGAAGCCCACAAAAUAGAAUGAAGUAACUGAAUUUUCCGUAGCACUCUGCGCAAUUUAUGUGGUGUUAGACUCAUGGGUUUUAAAGAAAGAUACUUGUGAUCUCAUUCUCACAAGCCACAAACUUCAUGGGACGAUGAGUAUCUGUUUAUCAGGGGAAAUAUAAACAAUAAGUGUGAGUUUUAGCAGUGCAUGUAUUAAUAUUAUGUUGAAAAUUGUAUUGUUAAGGAGUAAAAGAGAAAAUAGUGUAACUAAUUUUAAAGAAACCUUCAAGAAUUUGAGGAUGCUUUUAUAAAUGCAAGUUCCUGAAUAUGGCCAAAACACAACACCUCAGUGAAUUUAAAAGAGUAGAUGUUUUAAAAGACCGGAUUUUAAAAGAAUGACUGAACAUAGCCAAGUAAAUAUUCAAAGAAUUAUAAAAAGAAUAUCAAAGUAGACUAGAAAAUAACAAAUGGAACAAUUUGUAAAAAUGAAAGCCAUAAAUAAUGAAAUGUAGAACAAGACACAGUGCAAAUGAUAUAUAAAGCCAAAAGUUCAUUUUUAAAUGGCAAAAAGAAAGAGCAGAAGAGAGAGAGAGAUAAACUUCUGGUAAGGCAUUUAAAGGAAAUAGAAGAGAAAGAGAAAAAAGAAAAAAAAAAGGCAUAGAGUAUGAGCCAUGAGAAUGGAAACAGAAAAGGAAAAAGACUUAUAAUAGAAGAUUAUAUACUACUCCAAGGCAACAUAUUCACUGAUAAAGAAAUGGAUGUUAUCCCUCAAGAAUAAACUAUCAAAAUUGACUUUCAAAAAAUAGAAAACUUCAAUGAACUAAUAGAAAUAUCGGAAAUGAAAUGAAAUAUCUACCAUUUGAAAAGUGGACAAGAAUUAUGGCUUCCAGCUCCAUCCGUGUUGCUACAAAGGACAAUAUUUUAUUCUUUUCUAUUGCUGUGUAGUAUUCCAUAGGAAUACAUGUACCAAGUUUUUUUAUCCAAUGCACCUUUGAUGGGGAUCUGUGAUGAUUCCAUGUCUUUGCUAUUGUGAACAGUGCAGCAAUGAACAUCCUAGUGCAUGUGUCAUUUUGGUAGAACGAUUCAUUUUCUUUUGGGUAUUUACCUAGUAAUGGCAUUGCUGGGUCGAAUGGCAACUCUCUUUUAAGUUCUCUAAGAAAUUUCCAGACUACUUUCCACAGUGUAAUAAUCCUAAGCAAAUUAAUGCUGUAACAGAAAAUCAAAUAUCACGUUUUCACUCAUAACUGGGAGCUAAGCAUUGAACAUACAUGGACAUAAAUGUGAGAACAAUAGACACUAUGGACUCUAGAGGGUGGAGGGAAAGGGGCUGGGUUAGAAAACUACCUAUCGGGUACUAUGCUCACUACCAGGGUGAUGGGAUCUGUCCAUACUCCAAGACUCAGCAUCAUGCAAUAUUUGCGUGUAACAAAUAUGCACAUGUACCCCCUUUAUCUAAAAGGAAAGUUGAAAUUACAAACUAAAAAGUAGCCAAAAUUAGAUUAUUUUACAUUUCAAUUCUACAUAAGGCAAAACCAAACACAUAAUUUUAAUAGUAGACUUUGGUAACAGAUGAAAAUAUCCUAAUGCCAAAUCUGGUAAAGAAAUAACAAAAAGAGAGUUACUGACCAUAUUGGCUUAUGAAUACAGAUGCAAAAAUUCUGAAUAAAAUAUUCAGUAGCAUAUGAAAAGAAUGUGAACAUGAACAGUUUGUUUUAGAAAGGCCAGAAUGAGUUUGAUCAGAAGAUCUUUUAGGGUAAUAAAUUAAAGGAGGAAAAAAUUACAUGAGUAUAUAAAUUGCCAUAAAAAGACAAAAAUGAAAUAACAUAAAAUCUACCGUUCAUUCUAAAUAUAAUUUCUAUGAAAAUGGGAAAACAGGAAAGUGCUCUAAGCCUGUAAAGACAGAAUUAAAUGUAAUUCCAAAGGUAAGUUUUUAUAGCUAUUUCAUUAAAAUCAGGAAUGAGACAAGGAUAGAACUUUUAUUAUGGCUACUUGGUAUUGUUUUCUUAGGUUGUACAUUAUACAAUAAGGCAAGAAAGUAAAAACCCAUACAAAUAUUGGCAAAGAAGCAGCAAAUUACUUUGUUUAUAGAUUACAGUAUUACACAUUUAGAAAAUAUAAGAGACUUCGACAGAAAACAAAAACAAAUAACACCCCAGGCAAACAAAGAAGAUUUUAAAGCAUAGUGUGACAUAUUUGGAAAUGAAGAAUAUAAAUAGAAAGCAAUAACAAAAUAAUAAUGCUCAGAAAUAGAAAAGGAAAAAUAAUUUAAUAAUCUUAAAAAAUAAUAUAAAAUACCUAAGGGUAAACUUAAUGGAAAAAUCACGUAGUUUACCUCAGGAAAACACUAAUAUUUUACCAGAUGGCAUAGAACAGAAACUGAAAAAAGUGAGAGAAAGACCAUAUUUCUUGAUAAAAAUAUUUAGUAUCACAAAAAUAUUAAUGCUUCCACAAUUGUCUAAAAAAGCUCCUCCAAUACAAAUCACAAUUGCAAUACUUAGUUGGGGAAAUUGGGGAACUGAAAAAUUAGUUUUUGUUCAUAUAGCUCUGAAGUUUAUAAGAAAUAGGAAAGCAAGAAAAAGAUUAGUGAAGGGUGAUUUGCUUUAUUAGAUAUUAAAAUUUGCCACAAAACAAUGAAAUAGCAUGAGAAAAGAUUAGAAACAAAUACAGAAAUAGCUACAAAAAUAUAUAAAAGUUAUAUGACAAAAUAGACAUUUAUGUUUCAGUAGCAGAAUGACUUACUUAAUAAAUAGCACUAACGUAAUUAGCCAGCCAUUCGGGGGAUAAAUAUAAAAGAAUGUUAAUUCAUGCUAUUCAAAAAUAUAUUCCAAAUAGAAUGAAGUUUGAAAUGUCAAAAGUAAAAAUUAACUCACUGUAAGACAAAAUGAAAAAAACAACUUGUACGAUCUUGGUUUAGGAAAAAUCUUCCUAAUUAUUAACAAAAAAACUCCCAAAGCCUCAGGAAUCAUAGUGAAAAAGAUAAUAUAUUUGAUUACAUGAAAAUUAAAAAUUGCUUCAUGUGAAAAUCUAUCAAAUUAGAAAAUAAUUCUAAAUUGGGCAACAAAUUUGUAGCAUACACCUUGUGUUAGUAUCCCUCAUAUCCAAAACACAUAGAGAAUUUUAAGAAUGACACAAAAUCCCAGUGUAAAAAUGGUCAAACAAUAUAAACAGUUCAGAAGUAAACCCAAAAUGACUGAUAAUCAUAUGAAAAUAUAUGUUGAAUAUCACUAGUCAGGGAAAUGCAAAUUAAAUCUACAAUAAGAUGCCACUUUUCACCCACCAGUUUGGCAUAAAGUAGAAGAAGGAUAACAUUCACUGCUGAUGAGAAUGUGGGAAACAAUUCUUCCACAGAUUGCUAAUGGAAAUAAUACUGUGGAAUCCUUUGGGAGGGUAGUCUGGCAGUGCCUACUUAGGAUAAGAUAAGCUCUGACUUGGACUUAUCCCUUUUGGAAACCAAUUGCAUUGAGAAAAGUUUCCAGGAUGUAAAGACAUGUAUACAAGGAUGUUUAUUGAAGCAUUGUUUGUAAUGGCAAAGAAGUAUGAACAAUUUGAACCCAACAGGAGGAGAAUGACUGACUAAAUAGCAUUGCAUUGACUCUAUGGAACGCCACAGUUAUUAAAACAAAUAUGUUAGUGCUGUAUUGAUUCACUCAAAGCAAUGUCCAUAUGUCAAAGGCAAAUUAAAAAGCGAUUACAGAAGAGAUCAUAACUGAAUAUCCGUUUGUGUGUUAAUAUGGCCAAGGACACCGAUUACCCCAAAGGGUAGGAAUGGAGGAGAGGAGGGCAAAGAGGUGAGAGGUUAUUAACUUCUUAAAAUCAUGUUGAAUUUUUCCACUUCUAUAAUCAGCAUAUAUUAUCUUUCUGAUUAGGAACCAACAAAGAAAAAUUAAUAUUUUUCUAGAGAAAUUCUCCUGCAUCUCACCUUAAAAAGGUCUUCUUCAAAAUUGCAUUGAUUUUCAAUACUGAAAGAAACAUGGUAUACUAUGGAAUCAGACUAAGUGAAUGUAUUUCCAAGUAAAUUGCAGCAUAUUUCAUUCUUUCCAUUUUUUUGGUCAUAUAUGUGUGGCAUGGAACUUUUAUAUUUUAAUAUUUUUGUUUGCUGACUCACUAUAUAAAAACUAGCCUUGUUCAAAGCAAUGCAUAUAUGAAGUUACAGCUUGAUGGUACAGUUACAUUGUUAAAAUACACAUAGUGACUACAAAGUUACUGAAGUAAAAAGAACUAUUUGGUUCAUACAGUUAUUUAGCGUAUGACACUUUGAAGAAAUUGGACCAUGGAUCAAGUAAACUAACCAUUAAUCAUCGAUCCGAAAUUGUCAGGAAACCAGGAGAUCAAAAGAACAUCCCUGGGGAAGGUAUUAGGCUCAGCUUAUUAUUAUGUGGGGGCUCAGUGUCUAUACCCACCUGAAGCUGGGCUGGCCAUGAGGCUUCAGUUCACUAAUCAGAUGUGCAUGAAACAGACACAAAAAGGGGAAGUCUUUAGGGCCAAAAAAUAGACCUAGGUUUGUAUUACUAUUUCAGCUUAAUCGUGUAUUCCUUGUGUGUCCUCGGCCAAUAAUGGCUAAUUAUGGUAAAUACUAUUUAGAAUUAUGUGCUAUAUACUAAGUGUUUGACAUGUGGUAUCUCAUUUAAACCUUGUGUAAUCCUCUGAAGAAUGUCCUCCUAUUUUUCCCAUUUUAACAGAUGAUAAAACUCACAGAAGGGCCUAUGGUUAUAUAGCUAGUAAAAGUGGCAGAGUCCGUUGAACUUGAAUUCAGAUUGGGGAAUGCUUUAACAGAUGGUAUCCAGCAGCUACCUGACUGAAUAUUUCUCAGUGUUGUUUCCUCAUCUCUAAAUUAAAGAUAUUAAAGCUCA
Molecule: long non-coding RNA, 10353 nt
Filed under: Homo sapiens (human)
Lineage: Eukaryota; Metazoa; Chordata; Mammalia; Primates; Hominidae
Description: HSALNT0362843
Source: RNAcentral